RNAcentral lists this long non-coding RNA (1181 nucleotides) under Cairina moschata (Muscovy duck). RNAcentral's name for it is "domestica (muscovy Duck (domestic type)) lncRNA (ENSCMMG00000002708.1)". The record is from RNAcentral. Lineage: Eukaryota; Metazoa; Chordata; Aves; Anseriformes; Anatidae.
UAAUGAUAAAGUACAAAAGUGUGUAAUAGAAAUUAAUGUACUGUGAAAUAAAAUUAUGUUUGGAAAUCAAGAAGAGUACAGUAAAAGUUAAAGCCUUAAAUGUAUUUGGAAACCACUUUGUAUUGUUUUAAUAGAAGAAUGGUUUCUUUAUGCAAGCUAUGAAAAAUUAUAGGAAUGUAUUCUAGACAUAUGAGUAAGAUGAAAUCAAAUCACCUUGUGAAAAAGAAACUACCAUCCUUAAGCUAAUUUCUUGCAAACCAAGAAAUGGGGAAAAAAAAAUAAAAGGUAUGAAAAUGACUAUGUCAAAUGACUAUGUUAUCUAAUUCUUGACUUAGAUUUACAUUUUCAGUCAUUAAAUCAAUACCUAUUUUCUUUAUUUCAGGAAGCCCAUGCCAGUGAUUGUUAAUCUCUAGCUGGAGAACAUGCACAGGACACACAUGUCUGUAAUGGAUAUGAUUCCAGUUUGAGAACCCUCAUGGAUUACCAUUUAAACAAAAAAGUCCUAAGUGAACAUAUUAAGUGAUAAGCAUGACUAAUUUAGAAGCACAAAUUGUCAAACCGUUUCUGUUUCAAAUAAGAGAAAUAAGCAAAUCAUUUGCUAUGAAGUCAACUUAUGUCAUGACAACCAUGUUCUCUAAAGACAAAGGAGUGAGAAGCGAUUUAAACCAUCUAUUAUCUAAGAAUGCCUGGCAGCCUAUGCGGUCAAUAGACUCAUUGCUCACGUUUUUAUUGAGUUUCAUCUUCCUGUUUGCUGCCUUGGGCUAUUAUUUUGUACACCUGCACUCAGCCAGAAAUAUAAUGAAAAAGAAUCAAUCUCUGAAGAGAAAGUUAUCACCAGCCAAUAACAUUGGGCCACUUUCAUGGGUUCUGCAGUGUUUCAUCCAAUUGCCAAAAUGCUUUACCAUUAUAAACUGAAGAUAGUAACUCAGCUGCUCUUCCUGGAGAUGCUCUUUGGACUCCACCUUCUCAUCGCAAUGAUGAAAAUCUGAUUUGCAUGAUAUUGUACUCUCUACAUUGAAUUCAAGGAACAGUAAAGGUACUUUAUUUUCUUUACUUAUGGAAUUAUGUAAUAUGUAGAUUCAAACCAUGAUGAAUUGGUAACUGACAUAUGUUUGAAGGCUGUUGUAAGUGGGACAUAUUUUGAAUUAAUUGUUGUAGCUUGGAAAAAAAUAAUGUUUUUA